CAGGCCUAACACAUGCAAGUCGAACGGAAAGGCCCUGCUUUUGUGGGGUGCUCGAGUGGCGAACGGGUGAGUAACACGUGAGUAACCUGCCCUUGACUUUGGGAUAACUUCAGGAAACUGGGGCUAAUACCGGAUAGGAGCUCCUGCUGCAUGGUGGGGGUUGGAAAGUUUCGGCGGUUGGGGAUGGACUCGCGGCUUAUCAGCUUGUUGGUGGGGUAGUGGCUUACCAAGGCUUUGACGGGUAGCCGGCCUGAGAGGGUGACCGGCCACAUUGGGACUGAGAUACGGCCCAGACUCCUACGGGAGGCAGCAGUGGGGAAUAUUGCACAAUGGGCGGAAGCCUGAUGCAGCAACGCCGCGUGCGGGAUGACGGCCUUCGGGUUGUAAAGCUCUUUCGCACGCGACGAUGAUGACGGUAGCGUGAGAAGAAGCCCCGGCUAACUUCGUGCCAGCAGCCGCGGUAAU
Molecule: ribosomal RNA, 465 nt
Filed under: uncultured bacterium
Lineage: Bacteria
Description: bacterial SSU rRNA
Rfam family: Bacterial small subunit ribosomal RNA
Source: RNAcentral